CAGCCGCCACGGUAAUACGAAGGGGGCUAGCGUUGCUCGGAAUUACUGGGCGUAAAGGGAGCGUAGGCGGACAUUUAAGUCAGGGGUGAAAUCCCAGAGCUCAACUCUGGAACUGCCUUUGAUACUGGGUAUCUUGAGUAUGGAAGAGGUGAGUGGAAUUCCGAGUGUAGAGGUGAAAUUCGUAGAUAUUCGGAGGAACACCAGUGGCGAAGGCGGCUCACUGGUCCAUUACUGACGCUGAGGUGCGAAAGCGUGGGGAGCAAACAGGAUUAGAUACCCCGGUAGUCCCUGUCUCUUAUAA
Molecule: ribosomal RNA, 301 nt
Filed under: uncultured bacterium
Lineage: Bacteria
Description: partial 16S ribosomal RNA
Rfam family: Bacterial small subunit ribosomal RNA
Source: RNAcentral